RNAcentral lists this ribosomal RNA (237 nucleotides) under Paenibacillus ottowii. RNAcentral describes it as "partial 23S ribosomal RNA". It matches the Rfam family "Bacterial large subunit ribosomal RNA", at positions 75 to 311 of the family's 2925-position model. Lineage: Bacteria; Bacillati; Bacillota; Bacilli; Caryophanales; Paenibacillaceae. The record is from RNAcentral.
GCCUCGGGGAGCUGUAAGCAAGCUUUGAUCCGGGGAUGUCCGAAUGGGGAAACCCGGCUGUCUUCAUCGACAGUCACUUUCUGCUGAAUACAUAGGCAGAAGAGAGGCAGACCAGGGGAACUGAAACAUCUAAGUACCCUGAGGAAGAGAAAACAAUAGUGAUUCCGUCAGUAGCGGCGAGCGAACGCGGAUUAGCCCAAACCAAGGAGCUUGCUCCUUGGGGUUGUGGGACGUCUC